UAUUAACAGUAUAUUUUAGAGAAGGUAAUGUCAACUGUCACUAGAAUGAUGUGUUCCGUAUUAACAGUAUAUUUCAGAGAAGGUAAUGUCAACAGUCACUAGAAUGAUGUGUUCUGUAUUAACUGUAUAUUGUAUAGAAGGUAAUGUCAACAGUCACUAGAAUGAUUUGUUCUGUAUUAACAGUAUAUUUUAGAGAAGGUAAUGUCAACAGUCACUAGAAUGAUUUGUUCUGUAUUAACAGUAUAUUUUAUGGAAGGUAAUGUCAACACUCACUAGAAUGAUGUUUUCCGUAUUAACAGUAUGUUUUAUAGAAGGUAAUGUCAACAGUCACUAGAAUGAUUUGUUCUGUAUUAACAGUAUAUUUUAGAGAAGGUAAUGUCAACAGUCACUAGAAUGAUGUGUUCCGUAUUAACAGUAUAUUUUAUAUCUUUACUGGUAUAUUAUAAGUUUUCAAAUGUCAUCAAAUAAUUUUUAUUUUCUUUCGUACA
Molecule: long non-coding RNA, 488 nt
Organism: Mizuhopecten yessoensis (Yesso scallop)
Lineage: Eukaryota; Metazoa; Mollusca; Bivalvia; Pectinida; Pectinidae
Exons: 3
Source: RefSeq, a predicted model, not a curated record